This is a long non-coding RNA of Podarcis raffonei (Aeolian wall lizard), 295 nucleotides long. RefSeq lists it as uncharacterized. NCBI's taxonomy places the organism in Eukaryota, Metazoa, Chordata, Lepidosauria, Squamata, Lacertidae. The transcript is spliced from 3 exons. The record is from RefSeq and is a predicted model, not a curated record.
CCAACUUUCAGGUGUCUGAAUAUCGGUCCAGAAACUGUAAAGGAAAAUCAAGAUUGAUUUUUUAAGGCAUGCACAAAACUUGAUCUCACCAAUACAGGGGUAAACAGAAGGAGUUUCCAGACAACCAUCAAACUCAUCUCCAGAGGAGAAUGGAAUUGGGCAGCCACAUUUUAUCCCAAUCUGGAAUCAUCCUCAGAGAUGAACAACCCUAUUGGAGAAAGGAAGGAGGAAAGGGGCUCCUAGCCCAAAGCCUAGAGACAACUCAGACUGACAUCUCCCUCGACCACCUACCUAC